GCCACUGGAAUAUUUUCUCUGCAUUCUCGCACAACAAUAUCUGAAAAGCUGAAGCCACCAUACUGAAAGCAGCUCCAGAGGCAAUUAGAUUAUAGUCCCCAACAACCACCAGCUCCAGGGCAGGUGAGGAACAUACCAAACUGUUCCUACAUUACACAGCAUAUUAACAUUUCUUACUUGGGAGUAGAGGAAGGGUUGAGAAGGGAAGAGAGAAGAGGACAGGGAAAGAGAUAUAUAUGCUACUCAUUUGGUUGAUUUGUCUUAUUUUUUGAUGUAUUAAUCUGCUCUUCCAGAUUCCAGGAACCCAUUCUUCCUUUUAAGCUAGAGAAAGAAAUGGGCAGCUUCCAUCAAAAGCUGGUGAAAAGGGAAUGUGUUGGAAUUGUGCUCUAAUAGUCAAAAGCUGGAAGUCACAAGAUGGAAGACAGAAAAAAAAUCUGCAGGAUCAGAUGAUAUGGACAGACAAUGGUAAAAACAAAUAGGCAGAAGAGGAUGGGGUAAUGAAGAACCGUGCCAAAAGCAUUAGAGUUGAUGAGUCCAGGGACGCUUACAUAUGUUAUCAGCUUUUUCAGUGGAAAGACCUAGGUGGUAGACACACAUAUGUGGUCCUCUUGGGGCUUGGAGCUUUGGGAUAGAGCACUGGACUCUUUGGAAUGCAUCACCACCUGCAUCCCACCAUGUUUAUUAUUACAGGUUCCAAAGGUACCAAAGGGAGUGCAAGACUUGCCUUGAAUCUCGAAAUGCAGAGCAUAUAGCUGUGCCACUACCUCAGCUCUCUGACUGCCUUUUAUUAUUAUUAAUAUUCAGAAAAGAAUAGGAUUUUGAGAGUGAAGUAAAAAAUCUUUGAUGGGUCAACGCUGUUCUCCUAGAGUGGUCCUGACAUGUCUCUUCCCCUUUUCACCCUGCCCAGCAGAAUCUUCUCCAAGACUCCUUGCUGGCCUUCAAUAAGGACAGUAUGUGUUGUGUAGCAGCUGCAAAAGGCCUCACAAAUGCUGGCUGACAAGAAGUGACAGCUCUGUAUAUCUCUCACUGGCACUGACAGCUGACAGAUGGAUACCACUCACACACAGAAAAAAAGCCCCCAGGAUGAUUCGCCAACAUUACUCUCUGUUCAUAGGGGCCACAUUUGAUUGAGUGCUGCUCAGAAUAAUAAACCCUUGUCGAUCCGUUGCAGAGCCAGUUUGCUCACAAUGUCCUGAUUUUUUUUUCCCCUGAAACACGUACCAACAUACACAGAGAAGCCUUGCUUUGUUUUUUCCCCCUUAGCUUUGUUUGAGAAGAAAAGCUACCUAGCUUUAUGCAGCUGCUUGUUAAAGCUAGGGAGCAAUGAGUACAUAACUUAGCAAUACCAUGUUAGGGCUUUGCUUUCUGAUAAUUCGUUCGUCUCCCCAGCCUGUUUAUUAUUAUCCUUCAGAUUGUUUUUAUUCUUUUCCAGCCCAUCAUUGAAAAUAUUGCUGGUUGGGUAAGUUGGAAGACAGUAACAUGGAACCGGACAAUGAAGCAUGUUGAUGCAAAACAAACCACCAAAAACAAAAAGAAAGAGAGAGAGUGAUAAACAAAGAGAGACAACCAUCCAUAUGGACAGAUAGAUCUAAAUGGAGAAAAACGGGCAACAGAAACACACAGUUUCUACAACUGUGGUAGCUGAAGAAUUCAGACCCAAGUAAUUUCUCCAGCUUUUUGUUCUGUUUUCUUGCACAAAUGGCUUAAUUACUGGACUCUGUAGGUGAACAGUUUUUGUGAAAGUUAAUCUGCUCUAAGAGAAAACAAGCUAUGUCGUUGUACCCCUUCAAAAGACCUGAUAUAAGUAAUAUGAAGCAAACACACCUUGUUACAACGCUAUAAAAUCUGAAGUUGGGAAGGGUUCAAGAAGCCAACCAUGACUGAGAUGAAUGAGAAGAGAAAUCUGAAAUCUCAUUAUUAGUGAUGGUUACCUCAUGUUAAGCAUUCUUUCUAAAUCAGUUCCUGGUAUUUUUCACGAAUGUCUUUAUCUAUGUUUUCAGAUAAGACAAAACAUUGCAAUGUUUCUGGAAAAGAAACUGAGGCAAAGAGGUGUGAAGGUGUAUCUAUGUAACAUUUUCAUCCCCCUGGGAGGUCUUAGUGAAAGUACAUAAAGCUAGAUCCACAAUGUGUGCCUAAUCAGAGUGAAAAACUGAUCAGGCAUUUAAAUAACCCUACAGAUCUGGCCUUAUCAGUCUGUUUUUUUGAUGCUUGGCACCUCCAGAUAUUAAUCUGGAAUAUCUUCCAGAUAUUAUAUAUAAUAUUCCAUAUAUUAAUCUGGAAACCUGAAGCACCUGAAAUCUGUGAAUUAUGAAAAAAUAUCAGCCCAUGGACUGUUUUUUAAAAACUGUCCAUGCAGUAAGUACAAGAAUCUGCUAGGUUGAAGAAAAAUUAAAAAAAAAAACAACACAAAACCAAAACAAAACAACACCCUAGGAAAGAACCCUACACCUUCUGUGUGGACAGAUUUGUCCUGGACCACCCAACCUGUUGGAUAAGGAGUGCCCUGUCCACUGAGCCAUAGUUUUUUACUUUAUGGCUGCUAUGCUAAUAUAUUCUGGUAAACACAAAAGGAUUUAUUCUGCAGAAGUAUUAAGGGGAUAUUUUUUAGUAUAUAAUUUAUAGGAUUUGUAUGGAAGACAACUGGCAGAUUUGCUAGACAAUUCAGAUUAUAUGGAGGCUUCCCCACCAAAGGAGGACAACACUGUCAUGCCAUAGCUCUGCAGUCUCUUUGCCACCAGGGUCAGCUACAGAUACAUGCAGUUUCUGUGUGGUCUCAAAGAGGGACUGUAUUGCCACCCAAGACAGCUUGUAUUUCUAAUGUUUUCUUGCUGACUGUACAGGCCAGAGCUUGGCCCUGUGCACAAGUCUGCAUGACCUGUGUGGGAUCAUGCACCAGCUGGUGCUGGUAUUUAAUGUCAGAAGCAAGGACCAAGGGGAAUUGGCUUGGGACACCACGGCUGGAAAGGAUGAGGUGCUGGACCUGUGCCAGGAGGGUUUGUGCCCAAGAUAAUUUCUGGUUGAUCUUUUCCUGUGUGAUUUUGGACCUCAUUCACAGCAGGCAUUGUCUUGCCCGUACCAGCCCUGAAAAGGAGGCCCAGCCUGCACCUCAGGGUGUCUGAGGAAUACGCAUGAUGAGAGGUCCAGGUGCUCCCCAGGAUGAGGUGGGUCGUGCUGUGCCAUGUUGCUGUCUGCAAGCAGAGGAGCCGUCUCAGCCCAGCUAUACAUAUAGGUAUACACAUAUGUACACAUGUAUACAUGUACUUGCACAGAGGCAUCAGCCUUCAGCACCCCAGAGACUCUCUCUCCCAUGUGGGUGCAAUGUGCUCAGGCUGGUAGGUGGGGAAUAACUGCUGGGUGAUAGGACUCUAAGACUCCCUUACAGGGUCGGGCAGUGAAGUCCUCCUUGUGGAGGAGGCUACGUGCCCCCAGUGCUUAUGGAGGCCAAAGGAAAGAUUGAAGUUGCCUGGGUCAAAACUCCAGUGCUAUUAGUUUCAAUCUGUGACCCUGCACGCCCCUUGGGCAGGACCUGUCCUCGACAGUGAAGCAUGUUCUUAUCGAUAUCAGAUGGACACGAUAAAUGCUGGAUCCAACCAAUAUCAAGUGAAACUGAACUCAUACAGAGACGAAUAAUAUUUUCUCCUGAAUGAAGCUCAUUGUUUUGCUCUUAAAAAUACACCAAAAUUUUCUUUUGGCUGAUGACACAGAACACUGCAGAAAAGAGGGAUUGGUUCACUUUUCCUUGUGGUAUAAUAGCCCUCUUUCAUAUCUUCCUUAAAUAUACAACUGAAGAAACAUUAUAUGUUAAUACUUCAGCUAACAAUAGCUAUUCUACACAGAUAUGUCUGAUAUCUACUUCUCAAAGUGGGGGUGGGAAGCUGUCUCUAGCUUCAGCAGGGUUUGAAGAUCUGUGUGAUACAAUAGGUGCAUGUAGCAGGAAAAAACAGAGGUGAAGUGUACAAGGAAUUAAAAAAAAAAAAAAAAGAAAAACAACUUUUGUGUCAGUAUCCUAUAGGCCAAAGGAUUGCUUGUAGAUAAUCAUGGAUUAAUUGUGAAUGUAAAGAAAGAGACACUUUUUUUUAUCAAAGCUGUUGCCUCAGGGCAAACUCCAGUGCCAUGAAAGCCGAAAUGUUUUCUUUUAUCACAGUUCCUUUUCUGGCACCUGAAAUUAUUUCUUUCAUGUCUGAUAGUGAGGAACGAGGCAGCAUAGCUCCCCAGAGAUGAGCGAUUGUUACCAUGGUCUCAUAACAUAUUGGCAGCCGAUGUGGCAUCCAUGUACACCUGUCACUCAAACAGGGCGAAAUGCAGAUGUGGCAAGAAAGCCUGAGCUCAACCACUUGGAAGCCUCCCCCCCUAUGCACGCACACCCCAAAACACACACAUGUCCUCCUCGGCCCCCCUCCUCCCCAGGAUGUGGCUGUUUUUCAGCCUACACAUAUGUGAGUGCACUCAGAUGUUAUCGGGCCUGUUUAAUGCAAUGAACCUGCAUUAGCAUUUCUGCAGGGCAAACACAAAUAAACAGAAAUGCGCUGAAAAAAAAUGUUUCAAACAAAUUCCUUUGCAAGUCAGGCAGAGAGAGAGAGGGAGAGAGAGUACAGCACACAAAUGAGCCAAUUUCCGUCAUAUGGAAGUGAACUAAGACCUUUUUAAUGAAGACUCCAAGGCCGGGGAGGGAAAGGGGGGCUGGAUGGAUGCUUAUUUACUUUUUGAUUUUCUUCAGGCUUUGGGCGACUCACGUCACUGUUGUCACAGAAGGCAAGGUGAUGAAAGUGUCAAAAGGCAAGCAGAUACAAUUUUAUUUUAAUCUUAGGACUGAUGGUCUUGGGGGUAAUUUAAACCUCAGUUUAAGGCCCAGCAUACAGGCAAAAGAAGGAGUCAGGCAAAACAAUUUUUGUUGGGAGAUAUUGUAUCUGAUAUGGAUGUGGGACAGGUCUUCUGCUAGGCGUGCGACAUGACUACAUUAGAAGAGGAAGAAAAUAACACAUAUCUACGGCUCUAAGGUAACAGCCAUGUUGAGGUGGGCCGGAUUUGCCCAUGUGAAUGACCUGGCAUUUUUGGUCAGUGAGACAGAAAGUAUAGUAUAAAAUGAUAUGCGAACCCUCUCUUCUCUCUCUCUCUUUUUUUUUUUUAAGCAAAUUGCCAAUUUAGCUCCUGGGCUAAAGUAAAUAGUGCACUGCAAUUUUUUUUAAAGGGAAAUAUGACAAGGAACCCAAAUGCGUUCAUCUUAGAUUUGUAAAUCCAUUGCUUUAUUGAACCAUUUGUCCAUUCUCAUAAGCUGAUUUAUAAUAACUGUAAUGUGAUUCAUCAUGUCAUCUUGUAAAUAAAUGUGACACUUCAUUAAACACAGUAAUCAAAUUUAAGCAGUCCCACUUUCAUGUUAACAACUGAGACCUUUACAAUUCUAUUGCUCUGAAGAUACUCCUACUCUAAUGAAAGUAGCAUCAAGCAAAGAAUAAGAUGUAACAGACGUAGAUUUCUUAGAGGAGUGAUGAAGAUAUAAAUAUUCCUUUAGC
Molecule: non-coding RNA, 5510 nt
Organism: Phalacrocorax carbo (great cormorant)
Lineage: Eukaryota; Metazoa; Chordata; Aves; Suliformes; Phalacrocoracidae
Source: RefSeq, a predicted model, not a curated record